RNAcentral lists this ribosomal RNA (440 nucleotides) under uncultured bacterium. RNAcentral describes it as "bacterial SSU rRNA". It matches the Rfam family "Bacterial small subunit ribosomal RNA", at positions 958 to 1398 of the family's 1533-position model. The record is from RNAcentral.
AACGCGAAGAACCUUACCCAGGUUUGAAAUGUAGAGGACAGUGUCAGAGAUGACAUCUCCCGCAAGGGUCUCUACACAGGUGCUGCAUGGCUGUCGUCAGCUCGUGCUGUGAGGUGUUGGGUUAAGUCCCGCAACGAGCGCAACCCUUAUCAUUAGUUGCCAUCACGUAAAGGUGGGCACUCUAGUGAGACUGCCCGGGUUAACUGGGAGGAAGGUGAGGAUGACGUCAAGUCAGCAUGGCCCUUAUGUCUGGGGCUACACACGUGCUACAAUGGUCGGCACAAAAGGAAGCAAGACCGCGAGGUGGAGCAAAUCCGAAAAGCCGGCCUCAGUUCAGAUUGCAGUCUGCAACUCGACUGCAUGAAGAUGGAAUUGCUAGUAAUGGCGUGUCAGCAAUAGCGCCGUGAAUACGUUCCCGGGCCUUGUACACACCGGAGUGC